RNAcentral lists this ribosomal RNA (305 nucleotides) under uncultured bacterium. RNAcentral describes it as "partial 16S ribosomal RNA". It matches the Rfam family "Bacterial small subunit ribosomal RNA", at positions 508 to 809 of the family's 1533-position model. The record is from RNAcentral.
ACAGCAGCCGCCGCGGUAAUACGGAGGGUGCAAGCGUUAAUCGGAAUUACUGGGCGUAAAGCGCACGCAGGCGGUCUGUCAAGUCAGAUGUGAAAUCCCCGGGCUUAACCUGGGAACUGCAUUUGAAACUGGCAGGCUAGAGUCUUGUAGAGGGGGGUAGAAUUCCAGGUGUAGCGGUGAAAUGCGUAGAGAUCUGGAGGAAUACCGGUGGCGAAGGCGGCCCCCUGGACAAAGACUGACGCUCAGGUGCGAAAGCGUGGGGAGCAAACAGGAUUAGAUACCCCAGUAGUCCCUGUCUCUUAUAA